GUUGUUUUUUCGGUUUGGUAUUAAAUGUUUAUUCCAAUUCAACGCUACAAUAGGGUCUUUAAAUAUUGUUUUUUAUUGGUAUGGUAUUGAUUUUGUAAUCAGUAAAUUAAAUCAAACUAAAUCGUAUUGUUUUUUUACAUAUGCACAUGCAUUGCUCUAUAACCAAAUACAUUGUACCUGUAUCUUGGCAUUGGACAGGGUUAUUUUUUUCUCUGAAUGUUAAUGACGUCUUUUACUCAAAAUCCAUGCACUUUGGAUGUGUACUGAUUGAUAUUUAGGUCUUAAAUAUAUACAUGACUUUUUUAUAAGUUGAUUGCUUUGAUCUAGCUGUCAGUAACAGUUAGUACUCUCAUAUUUGUACUCAGUGUAUUUUUGUUGUUGGGAUGUAAAGAUACCCGUCCACGUUCACUCUGUGAUUUUGUAAGAUGUAUUUCUAUUUGUAUUCAUCUGAUGAGAUACAUGUAAGCCUUUUUCAACUGAUGUGUUAUAGUUUGUUCUUAUGUUGUACUGUUAUACCACUGUUCCUUGUUAGGGGACUAACGAUCCACUACAGAAACUCUAGCAACAAAAGAUGAUAAUAUUGGAGAUAAUAUUUACCGAUAGUUUAAUAGUUGUUCCCAAAAGCAUUAUUGCUGUUAAAAUCAAUCGGGUCCAGGACCAAUCCAGUAUAUCUUAUCAUAAUCCUUCGUUUUUAAAUCAAUUUCCUAUAUGCAUACAUUUAGAGUAAUUAAGAGCUGGUAAACUCAGUGUAUGAUAAAUAUUUCUGCUUAUGGAAUACAUUCUUCUGCAUUUAUUUCCAUAUUUUUCUAGAAAUUCACAAUUGCAUGUUUGUAGUUUGAUAAUGGUGUGUAUAUUAAAAAAAAGGUGUGUCGGUUACGGUCAUGUAGACAUAGGCCUAUCCUCAUCAGGUAUCCCUAGCCUACAUGUUUCCUCCUUUGUAAUAUGUAGAAUAGUUCAAAUUUGAUUUAUCUUAUAGGGAUACGACACCUGUUUAUACAAUCGUGUUUUAUCUUAUAGGGAUACGACACCUGUUUACACAAUCGUGUUUUAUCUUAUAGGGAUACGACACCUGUUUACACAAUCGUGUUUUAUCUUAUAGGGAUACGACACCUGUUUACACAAUCG
RNAcentral lists this long non-coding RNA (1125 nucleotides) under Mytilus galloprovincialis (Mediterranean mussel). The record is from RNAcentral. Lineage: Eukaryota; Metazoa; Mollusca; Bivalvia; Mytilida; Mytilidae.